AAAAAAAAAGAGAAGUCAGUGUAUGUGUGUGGGGGUGCGAUCGAGAGAAAGACCAAGGAGAAACCCUUCUCCUCAAAACCUAGCAAGAAAUCAUCAAAUUGAAGGGCAAUAGGGCUGAAAUCUUAUGCAUGAGUGAAGAACUAAGAUCACCUAAGUGUUCUUGACAUCAAGCGUGAAGGAGGAAGGUACAAGCCUAACCGGUUCGCAAGCAACGCAAAACAAAGGUGAAUCUCACUCUUGAUAAUGGCGAGCUUGGAUCGAACACACCACAUCGCCCUUUAUGCGCUUCCGGUUUAGUCUCUUUGUAAAUGGGUCAAAUCACUUUUAUAAUGUAAAUGUUAAGUUUAUGUCUAAGAUGUUUCGUAAGUAAACUAGGAUUUUAAAUCUUAUUUUUGGUAGUUCGGACAAAACACUUUUGGUGGAAUCUUGUAUGGUUACAACUUAUAUGUCUUUUGAAACGUGUCAUAGAAUUUAGUUUGAAUGGUGAUUGUUAAAAGCAGGGAAUUGUAUAUAGUACGAACGGGUCAUGCCCAAUUUUUGUUAAAAAUUAGUAUGUGGUUACUAUUA
Molecule: long non-coding RNA, 567 nt
Organism: Helianthus annuus (common sunflower)
Lineage: Eukaryota; Viridiplantae; Streptophyta; Magnoliopsida; Asterales; Asteraceae
Exons: 3
Source: RefSeq, a predicted model, not a curated record